UGGGGAAUAUUGCGCAAUGGGGGAAACCCUGACGCAGCAACGCCGCGUGAAGGAUGAAGGUUUUCGGAUCGUAAACUUCUUUGAUGAGGGACGAACAAAAUGACGGUACCUCAAAAACAAGCCACGGCUAACUACGUGCCAGCAGCCGCGGUAAUACGUAGGUGGCGAGCGUUGUCCGGAAUUACUGGGUGUAAAGGGCGUGUAGGCGGGGAUGUAAGUCAGAUGUGAAAUUCCAUGGCUCAACUGUGGGGCUGCAUCUGAAACUAUGUCUCUUGAGUGCCGGAGAGGGAAGCUGAAUUCCUAGUGUAGCGGUGAAAUGCGUAGAUAGUAGGAGGAACACCAGUGGCGAAGGCGGCUUUCUGGACGGUAACUGACGCUGAGGCGCGAAAGCGUGGGGAGCAAACA
Molecule: ribosomal RNA, 405 nt
Filed under: uncultured bacterium
Lineage: Bacteria
Description: bacterial SSU rRNA
Rfam family: Bacterial small subunit ribosomal RNA
Source: RNAcentral